RNAcentral lists this ribosomal RNA (458 nucleotides) under Streptococcus sp. oral taxon F90. RNAcentral's name for it is "bacterial SSU rRNA". It matches the Rfam family "Bacterial small subunit ribosomal RNA", at positions 28 to 469 of the family's 1533-position model. Lineage: Bacteria; Bacillati; Bacillota; Bacilli; Lactobacillales; Streptococcaceae. The record is from RNAcentral.
GACGAACGCUGGCGGCGUGCGUAAUACAUGCAAGUAGGACGCUGAAGGAGGAGCUUGCUUCUCUGGAUGAGUUGCGAACGGGUGAGUCACGCGUAGGUAACCUGCCUGGUAGCGGGGGAUAACUAUUGUAAACGAUACCUAAUACCGCAUAAUAGCAGUUAUAGCACUGAUAACUGUUUGAAAGGUGCAAAUGCAUCACUACCAGAUGGACCUGUGUUGUAUUAGCUAGUUGGUGGGGUAACGGCUGCACCAAGGCGACGAUACAUAGCCGACCUGAGAGGGUGAUCGGCCACACUGGGACUGAGACACGGCCCAGACUCGUACGGGAGGCAGCAGUAGGGAAUCUUCGGCAAUGGACGGAAGUACUGACCGAGCAACGCCGCGUGAGUGAAGAAGGUUUUCGGAUCGUAAAGCUCUGUUGUAAGAGAAGAACGAGUGUGAGAGUGGAAAGUUCACAC